UACGUAGGGCGCAAGCGUUAUCCGGAAUUAUUGGGCGUAAAGAGCUCGUAGGCGGUUUGUCGCGUCUGCCGUGAAAGUCCGGGGCUCAACUCCGGAUCUGCGGUGGGUACGGGCAGACUAGAGUGAUGUAGGGGAGACUGGAAUUCCUGGUGUAGCGGUGAAAUGCGCAGAUAUCAGGAGGAACACCGGUGGCGAAGGCGGUUCUCUGGGCCUUACCUGACACUGAGGAGCGAAAGCGUGGGGAGCGAACAGG
Molecule: ribosomal RNA, 253 nt
Filed under: uncultured bacterium
Lineage: Bacteria
Description: partial 16S ribosomal RNA
Rfam family: Bacterial small subunit ribosomal RNA
Source: RNAcentral